AGCAGCCGCGGUAAUUCCAGCUCCAAUAGCGUAUAUUAAAGUUGUUGCAGUUAAAAAGCUCGUAGUUGAAUUUCGGGAUCAAAUUGUUGGUCGUGCUUCGGUACGCACUGGCAUUAUUGGUUCCUACCUUCUGAAGAACCGCGAUGUCAUUAAUUUGGUGUCGUGGGGAACCAGGACUGUUACUUUGAAAAAAUUAGAGUGUUUAAAGCAGGCUUACGCUUGAAUACAUUAGCAUGGAAUAAUGAAAUAGGACGUUUGAUUCUAUUUUGUUGGUUUCUAGGAUCGACGUAAUGAUUAAUAGGGAUAGUUGGGGGCAUUAGUAUUCAAUUGUCAGAGGUGAAAUUCUUGGAUUUAUUGAAGACUAACUACUGCGAAAGCAUUUGCCAAGGAUGUUUUCAUUAAUCAAGAACGAAAGUUAGGGGAUCGAAGACGAUCAGAUACCGUCGUAGUCUUAACCAUAAACUAUGCCGACUAGGGAUCGGAUGAUGUUAAUUUUUUAAUGACUCAUUCGGCGCCUUACG
This 521-nucleotide ribosomal RNA is filed under the name uncultured Glomeromycotina. RNAcentral describes it as "SSU rRNA". It matches the Rfam family "Eukaryotic small subunit ribosomal RNA", at positions 569 to 1092 of the family's 1831-position model. The record is from RNAcentral. Lineage: Eukaryota; Fungi; Glomeromycota.